This 204-nucleotide long non-coding RNA is filed under the name Panax ginseng (ginseng). Its description in RNAcentral is "long non-coding RNA (PGIN_LNC007382)". The record is from RNAcentral. Lineage: Eukaryota; Viridiplantae; Streptophyta; Magnoliopsida; Apiales; Araliaceae.
AUUACCCAAUCCAUAUUAACCAUGAGAUUGGGUUCGAGCCUUGGCAUGCCCGAGUGGUAUUACCCAAUCCAUAUUAACCAUGAGAUUGGGUUCGAGCCUUGGCAUGUCAAGGCAGGGUGUGUGAGUGUGUUCAAAUUAGCAAAAAAAAAUAAAAUUGGAACUUGGCUUCUCACAAAGGUGCCCACAUCUACAAACAACAUUAAG